This 449-nucleotide ribosomal RNA is filed under the name uncultured bacterium. Its description in RNAcentral is "partial 16S ribosomal RNA". It matches the Rfam family "Bacterial small subunit ribosomal RNA", at positions 30 to 523 of the family's 1533-position model. The record is from RNAcentral.
AUCGAACGCUGGCGGCAUGCCUAACACAUGCAAGUCGAACGAGAUCUUCGGGUCUAGUGGCGCACGGGUGCGUAACGCGUGGGAAUCUGCCCUUUGGUUCGGAGUAACAGUUGGAAACGACUGCUAAUACCGGAUGAUGACGAAAGUCCAAAGAUUUAUCGCCAGAGGAUGAGCCCGCGUAGGAUUAGCUAGUUGGUGUGGUAAAGGCGCACCAAGGCGACGAUCCUUAGCUGGUCUGAGAGGAUGAUCAGCCACACUGGGACUGAGACACGGCCCAGACUCCUACGGGAGGCAGCAGUGGGGAAUAUUGGACAAUGGGCGAAAGCCUGAUCCAGCAAUGCCGCGUGAGUGAUGAAGGCCUUAGGGUUGUAAAGCUCUUUUACCCGGGAUGAUAAUGACAGUACCGGGAGAAUAAGCUCCGGCUAACUCCGUGCCAGCCGCCGCAGUAA